This 271-nucleotide ribosomal RNA is filed under the name uncultured bacterium. RNAcentral's name for it is "partial 16S ribosomal RNA". It matches the Rfam family "Bacterial small subunit ribosomal RNA", at positions 524 to 794 of the family's 1533-position model. The record is from RNAcentral.
UACGUAGGGUGCGAGCGUUAAUCGGAAUUACUGGGCGUAAAGCGUGCGCAGGCGGUUGUGUAAGACAGGUGUGAAAUCCCCGGGCUUAACCUGGGAACGGCGCUUGUGACUGCAAGGCUCGAGUAUGGCAGAGGGGACUAGAAUUCCUGGUGUAGCAGUGAAAUGCGUAGAUAUCAGGAGGAAUACCGAUGGCGAAGGCAGGUCCCUGGGCUAAUACUGACGCUCAUGCACGAAAGCGUGGGGAGCAAACAGGAUUAGAAACCCCUGUAGU